UACAGAGGGUGCGAGCGUUAUUCGGAAUUACUGGGCGUAAAGCGCGCGUAGGCGGCUUUGUAAGUCGGUUGUGAAAUCCCCGGGCUUAACCUGGGAACUGCAUCCGAGACUGCAUAGCUAGAGUAUGGGAGAGGGAAGUGGAAUUUCAGGUGUAGCGGUGAAAUGCGUAGAUAUCUGGAGGAACACCGGUGGCGAAGGCGGCAUCCUGGACCGACAUUGACGCUGAGGCGCGAAAGCCAGGGGAGCAAACGGG
This 253-nucleotide ribosomal RNA is filed under the name uncultured bacterium. Its description in RNAcentral is "partial 16S ribosomal RNA". It matches the Rfam family "Bacterial small subunit ribosomal RNA", at positions 524 to 776 of the family's 1533-position model. The record is from RNAcentral.